RNAcentral lists this ribosomal RNA (305 nucleotides) under uncultured bacterium. RNAcentral's name for it is "bacterial SSU rRNA". It matches the Rfam family "Bacterial small subunit ribosomal RNA", at positions 334 to 636 of the family's 1533-position model. The record is from RNAcentral.
UCUCCCUACGGGACGCAGCAGUGAGGAAUAUUGGUCAAUGGGCGGGAGCCUGAACCAGCCAAGUCGCGUGAGGGACGACGGUCCUAUGGAUUGUAAACCUCUUUUGUCGGGGAACAAAGGCGCCCACGGGUGGGCGGAUGAGUGUACCCGAAGAAAAAGCAUCGGCUAACUCCGUGCCAGCAGCCGCGGUAAUACGGAGGAUGCGAGCGUUAAUCGGAAUUACUGGGCGUAAAGCGCUCGUAGGCGGUAUGUCAAGUCAAGGGUGAAAUCCCCGCGCUCAACGUGGGAACUGCCUUUGAAACUGG